Molecule: ribosomal RNA, 326 nt
Filed under: uncultured Sandonidae
Lineage: Eukaryota; Cercozoa; Glissomonadida; Viridiraptoridae
Description: bacterial SSU rRNA
Rfam family: Eukaryotic small subunit ribosomal RNA (bases 111-326)
Source: RNAcentral
GAUUUCUGGUUGGAUGCGCCUGGCCCGCCACGGUUUCGUGUGUGAGUGCUGGUUUGUGUGUCUGCCAUCCUUCUAGUGCGCCCUCUCCUCUUCAUUGAGGUGGAGGACGCGUCACUAGAUCUUUUACUUUGAAAAAAUUAGAGUGUUUAAAGCAGGCAUGCCGCUAUGAAUACAUUAGCAUGGAAUAAUAAUUUAGGACUUCGGUUCUAUUUUGUUGGUUUCUAGGACUGAAGUAAUGAUUGAUAGGGAUAGUUGGGGGUGCUAGUAUUCAGUGGCCAGAGGUGAAAUUCUCGGAUUCCCUGAAGACUAACUUAUGCGAAAGCAUU